GGGCCUAUAGCUCAGUUGGUUAGAGCGUUCGCCUGAUAAGCGAGAGGUCAGUGGUUCAAAUCCACUUAGGCCCA
Molecule: transfer RNA, 74 nt
Filed under: Caldifarciminota bacterium
Lineage: Bacteria; Pseudomonadati; Caldifarciminota
Also listed under: 3 other names
Description: tRNA-Ile
Rfam family: tRNA
About the family: Transfer RNA (tRNA) molecules are approximately 80 nucleotides in length. Their secondary structure includes four short double-helical elements and three loops (D, anti-codon, and T loops). Further hydrogen bonds mediate the characteristic L-shaped molecular structure. tRNAs have two regions of fundamental functional importance: the anti-codon, which is responsible for specific mRNA codon recognition, and the 3' end, to which the tRNAs corresponding amino acid is attached (by aminoacyl-tRNA synthetases). tRNAs cope with the degeneracy of the genetic code in two manners: having more than one tRNA (with a specific anti-codon) for a particular amino acid; and 'wobble' base-pairing, i.e. permitting non-standard base-pairing at the 3rd anti-codon position.
Source: RNAcentral